AUGCCAGAUUUCGUAGCUUGGAAUUUCACAAAAAAAGGGAUUUUUUCGGUUCGGUCUGCUUAUUUUGUGAAAUGGGACCACCAAUAUGGGAACAAGUUACGACAUACCAAUGGGACGGGACGUACCACGGUCAAUCCUAUUUGGGCGAGGAUUUGGAAACUUGCUUGUCCAGUAAAGGUUAAAAUAUUUAUUUGGCGUACACUUCAUGGCACUCUUCCGUGUCGUGUUAACUUAGCUAAUAGACAUGUGAAAGUCUCGCCUAAGUGUCCUGCCUGCUCAUCUGGGCCAGAAGACACAAAACAUCUGUUGUUUCUAUAUGACAGAGCAAAAGAAGUCUGGAGAAGACUAGGGAUGGACGAUAUUAUCGACAGAGCUUGUAAAAUAGACUAUGCGGGUGAGGCAAUCUUGGAAUAUUUACUUUCAUUACCAGAUCAGGAACUAGGUAUUAUGGGCACACGUAAUGUGCGUGACAUGAUUGUCAUAUCAGCCUGGUACUUGUGGUGGGAAAGACGCAAAUUGGUACACAAUAAGACUACUCUGAAUGCACAACAAAUAUCCAUGGGGAUACACGCUCUCACUGCCAAUUUUGUUAAUGCCUCCUCGCCGAAGGCUUCCAUGAAAAGAGGAGGAUGGUCUAGCCCCCGGACAGGAUUUGUUAAACUUAACGUUGAUGCUUUUUUUGACCACGACCUUCUCAGGGGUACGGUCGGGGCGGUCUUAAGAGAUGACAAAGAUAGGUUCAUCGGUGGGGGAAAUGGUAAGAUUGACUGGUGUGAAGAUGUGUUGAUGGCUGAAGCUUUGGCGUUAAAAUUUGGCCUAUCGCUUGCGCAAAGGACGGGUUGUAAUCGCAUAAUUAUUAACUCGGAUAAUAUGGAGAUGAUCGAGACCAUGAACGAAGGACGAUCGUCGGAGGCAGCAGUUGCAAUUUUUUAUGACUGUUUUUACUUAGCUUGCGAUUUUCCUAUUUCUAGAUUCGAGCAUUGUAAUAGAGAAGCAAAUAAAGUUGCUCAUGAACUUGCCAAGUUGGCUAGAUUUUUCUUCAUUUCUGAUUGGCUCGAGAAACCACAUAAUGCAAUUGUACCAAUCCACGUAAACGAUGUAAUGAUUAUUUCUAAUGAAUAA
This 1122-nucleotide ribosomal RNA is filed under the name Triticum aestivum (bread wheat). RNAcentral describes it as "partial small subunit ribosomal RNA". The record is from RNAcentral. Lineage: Eukaryota; Viridiplantae; Streptophyta; Magnoliopsida; Poales; Poaceae.